GACGAACGCUGGCGGCGUGCCUAAUACAUGCAAGUCGAACGCAGUGGGGACGGGUGAGUAACACGUGGGUAACCUCCCAUCAGAGCGGAUAACGCUUGGAAACAGGUACUAAACCCAUACUGAUGGAUGGCCCCGGGGUUCAUUGGCUAGUUGGUGAGGUAACGGCUCACCAAGGCCACGAUCCAUCGCUGACCUGAGAGGGUGACCGGCCACACUGGGACUGAGACACGGCCCAGACUCCUACGGGAGGCAGCAGUGGGGAAUCUUGGGCAAUGGACGAAAGUCUGACCGAGCAACGCCGCGUGAGUGAAGAAGGUUUUCGGAUCGUAAAGCGCUUUUGUCAGAGAAGCGGUAUCUAACUAGAAAGCCACGGCUAACUACGUGCCAGCCGCCGCGGUAAUAC
RNAcentral lists this ribosomal RNA (403 nucleotides) under uncultured bacterium. RNAcentral's name for it is "partial 16S ribosomal RNA". It matches the Rfam family "Bacterial small subunit ribosomal RNA", at positions 28 to 526 of the family's 1533-position model. The record is from RNAcentral.